This 159-nucleotide ribosomal RNA is filed under the name Syringa reticulata. RNAcentral describes it as "5.8S ribosomal RNA". It matches the Rfam family "5.8S ribosomal RNA". From Rfam's summary of the family: 5.8S ribosomal RNA (5.8S rRNA) is a component of the large subunit of the eukaryotic ribosome. It is transcribed by RNA polymerase I as part of the 45S precursor that also contains 18S and 28S rRNA. RNAcentral also lists the same sequence under 1 other name. Lineage: Eukaryota; Viridiplantae; Streptophyta; Magnoliopsida; Lamiales; Oleaceae. The record is from RNAcentral.
CGACUCUCGGCAACGGAUAUCUCGGCUCUCGCAUCGAUGAAGAACGCAGCAAAUUGCGAUACUUGGUGUGAAUUGCAGAAUCCCGUGAACCAUCGAGUUUUUGAACGCAAGUUGCGCCCGAAGCCAUUAUGCUGAGGGCACGUCUGCCUGGGCGUCACG